UAGUGAAACAAUUGUUGUAAU
Molecule: non-coding RNA, 21 nt
Filed under: Caenorhabditis elegans
Lineage: Eukaryota; Metazoa; Nematoda; Chromadorea; Rhabditida; Rhabditidae
Source: RNAcentral